AUUGAACGCUGGCGGCAGGCUUAACACAUGCAAGUCGAGCGGGGGAAGGUAGCUUGCUACCGGACCUAGCGGCGGACGGGUGAGUAGUGCUUAGGAAUCUGCCUAUUAGUGGGGGACAACAUCUCAAAAGGGAUGCUAAUACCGCAUACGUCCUACGGGAGAAAGCAGGGGAUCACUUGUGACCUUGCGCUAAUAGAUGAGCCUAAGUCGGAUUAGCUAGUUGGUGGGGUAAAGGCCUACCAAGGCGACGAUCUGUAGCGGGUCUGAGAGGAUGAUCCGCCACACUGGGACUGAGACACGGCCCAGACUCCUACGGGAGGCAGCAGUGGGGAAUAUUGGACAAUGGGGGGAACCCUGAUCCAGCCAUGCCGCGUGUGUGAAGAAGGCCUUAUGGUUGUAAAGCACUUUAAGCGAAGAGGAGGCUCUUUUGGUUAAUACCCAAGAUGAGUGGACGUUACUCGCAGAAUAAGCACCGGCUAACUCUGUGCCAGCCGCCGCCGUAA
Molecule: ribosomal RNA, 503 nt
Filed under: uncultured bacterium
Lineage: Bacteria
Description: partial 16S ribosomal RNA
Rfam family: Bacterial small subunit ribosomal RNA
Source: RNAcentral